Molecule: ribosomal RNA, 409 nt
Filed under: bacterium
Lineage: Bacteria
Description: partial 16S ribosomal RNA
Rfam family: Bacterial small subunit ribosomal RNA
Source: RNAcentral
UGGGGAAUAUUGCACAAUGGGCGAAAGCCUGAUGCAGCGACGCCGCGUGAGGGAUGACGGCCUUCGGGUUGUAAACCUCUUUCAGCAGGGACGAAGCGCAAGUGACGGUACCUGCAGAAGAAGCACCGGCUAACUACGUGCCAGCAGCCGCGGUAAUACGUAGGGUGCAAGCGUUGUCCGGAAUUACUGGGCGUAAAGAGUUCGUAGGCGGUUUGUCGCGUCGUUUGUGAAAACCAGCAGCUCAACUGCUGGCUUGCAGGCGAUACGGGCAGACUUGAGUACUGCAGGGGAGACUGGAAUUCCUGGUGUAGCGGUGAAAUGCGCAGAUAUCAGGAGGAACACCGGUGGCGAAGGCGGGUCUCUUGGCAGUAACUGACGCUGAGGAACGAAAGCGUGGGUAGCGAACAGG